Molecule: long non-coding RNA, 327 nt
Organism: Oncorhynchus tshawytscha (Chinook salmon)
Lineage: Eukaryota; Metazoa; Chordata; Actinopteri; Salmoniformes; Salmonidae
Source: Ensembl
AGAGACCCUGAGAGUGACACACAGGGAACUGUAGAGGACGGUGGGGCAGUAGAGAGAACAGGCACAGAGAUCCUGAGAGUGACACACAGGGAACUGUAGAGGACGGUGGGGCAGUAGAGAGAACAGGCACAGAGAUCCUGAGAGUGACACACAGGGAACUGUAGAGGACGGUGGGGCAGUAGAGAGAACAGGUACAGAGAUCCUGAGAGUGACACACAAGGAACUGUAGAGGACGGUGGGGCAGUAGAGAGAACAGGCACAGAGAUCCUGAGAGUGACACACAGGGAACUGUAGAGGACGGUGGGGCAGUAGAGAGAACAGGCACAG